UACGUGGGGCGCAAGCGUUGUCCGGAAUUAUUGGGCGUAAAGAGCUCGUAGGCGGCUUGUCACGUCGGGUGUGAAAGCCCGGGGCUUAACCCCGGGUCUGCAUUCGAUACGGGCUAGCUAGAGUGUGGUAGGGGAGAUCGGAAUUCCUGGUGUAGCGGUGAAAUGCGCAGAUAUCAGGAGGAACACCGGUGGCGAAGGCGGAUCUCUGGGCAUUACCUGACGCUGAGGAGCGAAAGUGUGGGGAGCGAACAGG
RNAcentral lists this ribosomal RNA (253 nucleotides) under uncultured bacterium. Its description in RNAcentral is "partial 16S ribosomal RNA". It matches the Rfam family "Bacterial small subunit ribosomal RNA", at positions 524 to 776 of the family's 1533-position model. The record is from RNAcentral.